RNAcentral lists this ribosomal RNA (477 nucleotides) under uncultured bacterium. RNAcentral's name for it is "partial 16S ribosomal RNA". It matches the Rfam family "Bacterial small subunit ribosomal RNA", at positions 28 to 507 of the family's 1533-position model. The record is from RNAcentral.
GACGAACGCUGGCGGCGUGCUUAACACAUGCAAGUCGAACGGUGAAGCGCCUUCCUUUUUGGUGGGUGUGGAUGAGUGGCGAACGGGUGAGUAACACGUGAGUAACCUGCCCCCUUCUUCUGGAUAACCGCAUGAAAGUGUGGCUAAUACGGGAUAUUCUGGGUCUGUCGCAUGAUGGGUCUGGGAAAGAUAUUGUUUCGGUGGGGGAUGGUCUCGCGGCCUAUCAGCUUGUUGGUGGGGUGAUGGCCUACCAAGGCGGUGACGGGUAGCCGGCCGGGGAGGGGGAAAGGAGAGAGGGGGACGGAGGGGUGGGGCAGAGUCGUGGGGGAGGGAGCAGGGGGGAAGAGGGUACAAUGGGCGGAAGGCGGAGGCAGCGACGGCGCGUGGGUGGGGAAGGGCUUAGGGUGGUAAAAAGGGUUGGCCGGGGUAGAAGCGGGAGUGACGGGAAGGGGAAAAGAAGCACCGGCUAAAUACGUG